Oncorhynchus tshawytscha (Chinook salmon) is the source of this 275-nucleotide long non-coding RNA. RefSeq lists it as uncharacterized. The transcript has 3 exons. The record is from RefSeq and is a predicted model, not a curated record. NCBI's taxonomy places the organism in Eukaryota, Metazoa, Chordata, Actinopteri, Salmoniformes, Salmonidae.
UAACCAUAUAGUAGGUCACUAACACAGCAAAUAAGUUCUUUCAUAAAGUCACAAACUAGGACUGAUAUUGACCUCUCAUUUAUCCACCAGAGCGUGAAAUGGGAGGAUUUCCCGGAUGACCAAAAUAAAGUUGUGGCGAAUAUGAAGAAUGAAACAGAGACACAUGAGACCAACAAGAACAGGACAGGAGGCAAGCCAAUGGAGAGUGAUUCAGCAUGGCAUGAAAAAUAACCUCACAUUCGAGCAGCUCUCCAUGCUGUGUCUGAAGAUUGUUA